UCUCUCCCAGCACUCUGGAAGCAUAGCUGAAAUGGCAAACAGAACUAACUCUACUAACUCUAACUCAUACUAUGGCUACGAAUACUAUAUGGACUACGUGGAUCUUCCUCAAGUAGAUGAAAGAAAGUUAAAGGCUAACAAAUAUUCAAUAGUCAUUGCUUUCUGGGUCAGUCUUGCAGCUUUCGUGGUGCUUCUAUUCCUAAUUUUGCUCUACAUGUCCUGGUCUGGCUCAGUUCCGACAAGGAGUGCCCGUUCACACCGUAAGUGCACAUGGAAUUACAUCUUCAACUUGCUCUUCUUUGCCCCAAAAGCCAGAAGCUUUCAAAUCAGCCCCACGAGCAACUCCCAGUCUCAGGGCCAAAUCAAAGAACUUGAAGAUGGAAGUAACCAGCAACAGGGUAAUGACUGUACCCCGGAUUCUGUUCUAAUCACUGCCCCUGACAACACUCCUCCUUUACAAGAAAAUGCACAUUAUAGAGGCCUGGAGGUCUGAGCUGAUAGUACAAUUGCACUAUGUUUAAAAAGAAGCAUGGCAUUCCCUUCCACCUAGACUGAAGACUGAAGGUGGAAGGAAAGCAAGAAUAACCCCAUGGUAUCAGCAAAAAGAACAGAACAAAUCAACCAAACUGGCCAUAUACUUUUGUGGUAGCUAAAAAAAAAAAAAUUUAAAAAAAAGAAAGAAAAAAAAAGACCAUUUAGAUACAGCAACAGGUCAGGUCAAGAUUGACCAUGAGGAAGAUGAGAACAUGUUAUUGCAGUUUUACAAAUAAAGAAUGCUGCUGAUUUUAUGUAGGAUCCUUAAGUAGGUUAGCUGAUGUCUGUGUGUCUCUUGUUGGAGGAUGGGUCCAUAAUGAAAAUUAAAAAAUGAGGAAACGGAGGCACGAGGUGACCUG
Vombatus ursinus (common wombat) is the source of this 893-nucleotide RNA transcript. It is a transcript of the gene named melanocortin 2 receptor accessory protein, with no coding region annotated. The record is from RefSeq and is a predicted model, not a curated record. The transcript has 4 exons. Lineage: Eukaryota; Metazoa; Chordata; Mammalia; Diprotodontia; Vombatidae.